AGAAUUAGAAAGGCUUGACUAUGGGAAGGCUGUGUAAUAUUGAACUGUUUACUAAAAGAGCUGUUUAACUUUAGGUAAGCUAAAUGACUAUUGAAGUCUUUCAUCAAUGAGGUUCAAGACUGUAAGCCUGGAGAAUGUGAAGAAAUGGUUUAGGCUGUGGAUGGAUGGAUGCAGCAUGACAGGAUGGCCGGAUUCCUCAGAUGGAGACAGGACCUCCAGGCAGAACCAGAUUAAUGUCUUAUCAGAUAAGAUGGAAGUAUUCAGGACAUAUAGUGAAUUGUAGGAACCUGACGUUUAAAAGAUUC
Long non-coding RNA from Mauremys mutica (yellowpond turtle), 305 nucleotides. RefSeq lists it as uncharacterized. The record is from RefSeq and is a predicted model, not a curated record. The transcript has 3 exons. Lineage: Eukaryota; Metazoa; Chordata; Testudines; Geoemydidae.